RNAcentral lists this ribosomal RNA (254 nucleotides) under uncultured bacterium. RNAcentral's name for it is "partial 16S ribosomal RNA". It matches the Rfam family "Bacterial small subunit ribosomal RNA", at positions 524 to 776 of the family's 1533-position model. The record is from RNAcentral.
UACGGAGGGUGCGAGCGUUGUCCGGAAUCAUUGGGCGUAAAGAGCGUGUAGGCGGCCUUUUAAGUCCUGCGUGAAAUCCUGCGGCUCAACCGCAGACGGUCGUGGGAAACUGGAAGGCUAGAGUGCGGGAGAGGAGAGUGGAAUUCCCGGUGUAGCGGUGAAAUGCGCAGAUAUCGGGAAGAACACCCGUGGCGAAGGCGGCUCUCUGGAACGCAACUGACGCUGAGACGCGAAAGCGUGGGGGAGCAAACAGG